CGUGCUAAUCUGCGAUAAGCGCCGGUAAGGUGAUAUGAACCGUUAUAACCGGCGAUACCCGAAUGGGGAAACCCAGUGUGAUUCGUCACACUAUCAUUAACUGAAUCCAUAGGUUAAUGAGGCGAACCGGGGGAACUGAAACAUCUAAGUACCCCGAGGAAAAGAAAUCAACCGAGAUUCCCCCAGUAGCGGCGAGCGAACGGGGAGGAGCCCAGAGCCUGAAUCAGCAUGUGUGUUAGUGGAAGCGUCUGGAAAGGCGCGCGAUACAGGGUGACAGCC
Molecule: ribosomal RNA, 279 nt
Filed under: Salmonella enterica
Lineage: Bacteria; Pseudomonadati; Pseudomonadota; Gammaproteobacteria; Enterobacterales; Enterobacteriaceae
Also listed under: 3 other names
Description: partial 23S ribosomal RNA
Rfam family: Bacterial large subunit ribosomal RNA
Source: RNAcentral